GAUGAAGAACGCAGCGAAAUGCGAUAAGUAAUGUGAAUUGCAGAAUUCAGUGAAUCAUCGAAUCUUUGAACGCACAUUGCGCCCCUUGGUAUUCCGAGGGGCAUGCCUGUUCGAGCGUCAUUUAAACCAUCAAGCCCCGGGCUUGUGUUGGGGACCUGCGGCUGCCGCAGGCCCUGAAAUGCAGUGGCGGGCUCGCUGUCACUCCGAGCGUAGUAGUUACAUCUCGCUCUGGGCGUGCUGCGGGUUCCGGCCGUUAAAAGCCUUAUUUACCCAAGGUUGACCUCGGAUCAGGUAGGAAGACCCGCUGAACUUAAGCAUAUCAAUAAGCGGAGGA
This 334-nucleotide unclassified non-coding RNA is filed under the name soil metagenome. RNAcentral's name for it is "partial contains 5.8S ribosomal RNA, internal transcribed spacer 2, and large subunit ribosomal RNA". The stretch from base 1 to 120 matches the Rfam family "5.8S ribosomal RNA", at positions 35 to 154 of the family's 154-position model. The record is from RNAcentral.